GUAAGGUUCAACUGCGGUACGUGC
Molecule: non-coding RNA, 24 nt
Filed under: Arabidopsis thaliana (thale cress)
Lineage: Eukaryota; Viridiplantae; Streptophyta; Magnoliopsida; Brassicales; Brassicaceae
Source: RNAcentral